Molecule: ribosomal RNA, 430 nt
Filed under: uncultured bacterium
Lineage: Bacteria
Description: bacterial SSU rRNA
Rfam family: Bacterial small subunit ribosomal RNA
Source: RNAcentral
UACGGGAGGCAGCAGUGGGGAAUAUUGGACAAUGGGCGAAAGCCUGAUCCAGCAAUGCCGCGUGAGUGAUGAAGGCCUUAGGGUUGUAAAGCUCUUUUACCCGGGAUGAUAAUGACAGUACCGGGAGAAUAAGCUCCGGCUAACUCCGUGCCAGCAGCCGCGGUAAUACGGAGGGAGCUAGCGUUGUUCGGAAUUACUGGGCGUAAAGCGCACGUAGGCGGCUUUGUAAGUUAGAGGUGAAAGCCUGGAGCUCAACUCCAGAACUGCCUUUAAGACUGCAUCGCUUGAAUCCAGGAGAGGUGAGUGGAAUUCCGAGUGUAGAGGUGAAAUUCGUAGAUAUUCGGAAGAACACCAGUGGCGAAGGCGGCUCACUGGACUGGUAUUGACGCUGAGGUGCGAAAGCGUGGGGAGCAAACAGGGAUUAGAUACC